This 466-nucleotide ribosomal RNA is filed under the name uncultured bacterium. Its description in RNAcentral is "bacterial SSU rRNA". It matches the Rfam family "Bacterial small subunit ribosomal RNA", at positions 26 to 507 of the family's 1533-position model. The record is from RNAcentral.
AGGACGAACGCUGGCGGCGCGCCUAACACAUGCAAGUCGAACGAGCGAGAGAGAGCUUGCUUUCUCAAGCGAGUGGCGGACGGGUGAGUAACGCGUGGGUAACCUGCCUUGUACUGGGGGACAACAGUUGGAAACGACUGCUAAUACCGCAUAAGCGCACAGCUUCGCAUGAAGCAGUGUGAAAAACUCCGGUGGUACAAGAUGGACCCGCGUCUGAUUAGCUGGUUGGUGAGGUAACGGCCCACCAAGGCAACGAUCAGUAGCCGGCCUGAGAGGGUGAACGGCCACAUUGGGACUGAGACACGGCCCAAACUCCUACGGGAGGCAGCAGUGGGGAAUAUUGCACAAUGGGGGAAACCCUGAUGCAGCAACGCCGCGUGAGUGAAGAAGUAUUUCGGUAUGUAAAGCUCUAUCAGCAGGAAAGAAAAUGACGGUACCUGACUAAGAAGCCCCGGCUAACUACGUG